ACUUCCAUUCAACUUUUUUGGCAUUUUUCUUUUCCCUCCUAUCAAUAUUAUACCCACUCCUCCGUCCAAAGCUUAGACAUCCGCUGUAGCCUGUAUCCUUGCCCUGUUCGUCGUUUCUUCACCGGCAGGAACGGUAUAGUACUAACAAACAUCUUGGGGAGAUAAAAUACAAAGCUUCUAAUCAGGUUUAACAAAGAAAAAUAAGACGUAGCACCUCACUGUUGAUUAUUCAUUUUUUUAUGAAUUAAUUUGUUGCUCAUGAGUAGAAAUAUGGAGGGGUAAUAUUUGUCAGUGGAUGCGAAUGUUAUAUCGGAGACGGCGUCAUUGAACAAAGAAGAAGAAGCAAUCCCUUGCAGAGUCAGGCAAACAUUGUUAACGAUGAUUGUGAGCUACUUGGUGUGAUGUCGAAGUUUGUGGUGCAGUUCAUGCGGUUUCGUUGGUAAAGUUGUGGCUAGCGGCCAGUUCAUGUGGUUUCUCCUGUCUCUCUCAUCAAGCUGAAGAAGAACCUGAAGAAGUCAAGAAUCACGGUUAUAUCGCAUCCUCUCAACUGAAGAAGUGAAGAUUCAUGGUUAACUCUCAUUCUCUCAUCCUGAUUUUGUUUCAAUGUUUUGUAUACUGUUAAUCUUGCAAUUGUUCUGCUCAUCUUUGUCAAGACUGAUGUGGUAAGCACAAAUUCCCUGGACACGGAUUGUCUAACUUUAAAGCGGGAAAGUUAGACUGACUUUCAAAAACAAUUGUCUGUCAGAUCCAUCUAAAGGAUUUUUGCUUUAUUCCAGCCUGGCUGUAGUGUGCAUUGUGGUCGAUGUUGACAAGGGGUCAACUCAUCAAUAAAUACAACCUGCUACCUUAAUCAAAGUUCACAGCCUGCUGUUACUUUUUGCAUGAAUUGAGGUCUACUUUGCUUAAAACUAUUGUUGUUUUUUCUGCUCCCAAUAUCAGUUUAUACUAAUCCUACUAUUUGUAAUAUAUUUUAUCUGUUACAUUGAAAAAUGUACAAAUAAAGUAAUACUAAUAUUGUGAUUGAGUUUGAUAGUGAAAGCUUUUGAGAUUGUAGUAAUUUCUUUGGCAUAUGAGAAGCAGCAGACAUGUCUUCCAAAAAUUGUAUGAAUGUGCAUGUUAAGCUACUGUAUAAAGAUAUAUGAAUACUAUUUUGACUUAGUGCUUCAUUGAAUAGUGCUUCAUUGAAUUUAAGAUUGAAGGCCUUGACUUAGUGCUU
Vicia villosa (hairy vetch) is the source of this 1216-nucleotide long non-coding RNA. RefSeq lists it as uncharacterized. The transcript is spliced from 5 exons. The record is from RefSeq and is a predicted model, not a curated record. NCBI's taxonomy places the organism in Eukaryota, Viridiplantae, Streptophyta, Magnoliopsida, Fabales, Fabaceae.